GACGAACGCUGGCGGCGUGCUUAACACAUGCAAGUCGAACGGAAAGGCCCUGCUUUUGUGGGGUGCUCGAGUGGCGAACGGGUGAGUAACACGUGAGUAACCUGCCCUUGACUUUGUGAUAACUUCAGGAAACUGGGGCUAAUACCGGAUAGGAGCUCCUGCUGCAUGGGGGGGGUUGGAAAGUUUCGGCGGUUGGGGAUGGACUCGCGGCUUAUCAGCUUGUUGGUGGGGUAGUGGCUUACCAAGGCUUUGACGGGUAGGCGGCCUGAGAGGGUGACCGGCCACAUUGGGACUGAGAGACGGACCAGACGCCUACGGGAGGCAGCAGUGGGAAACAUUGCACAGUGGGCGGGAGCCUGAGGCAGCAACGCUGCGUGCGGGAUGACGGCUUACGGGUUGUAAACCGCUUUCGCCGGUGACAUAGCGUGAGUGACGGUAAUGGGUAAAAAAGCACCGGCUAACUACGUG
Molecule: ribosomal RNA, 468 nt
Filed under: uncultured bacterium
Lineage: Bacteria
Description: partial 16S ribosomal RNA
Rfam family: Bacterial small subunit ribosomal RNA
Source: RNAcentral